Molecule: long non-coding RNA, 1436 nt
Organism: Gasterosteus aculeatus aculeatus (three-spined stickleback)
Lineage: Eukaryota; Metazoa; Chordata; Actinopteri; Perciformes; Gasterosteidae
Source: Ensembl
CCCGUCCUGCCUGUCCUCCCUGUCCUCUCAGUCCUCCCUGUCCUCCCAGUCCUCUCAGUCCUCCCCGUCCUCCCGAGUCACUAGUUGGUCACGUGACUCGUCGGUGUGGUGGAGAUGAUCACAUCCUCCUGUAGAGCAGUAAUCUGGGGUUAUGUGGGCAGCAGCGUUACGUAACCAACCGGCUUUUUAUCACCACGAUCUGAGCUGCUGUCAAAGCUCAAAACACAGAUUUUCAAGUCAAAUCACAGGAAGAUGGAGAGACGGAACGGAGGACUCCUUCUGUUGUGCACCGUUACAUAAGCAGCUUUGAUUAUUAUUAAUUAGCAUAAAGGGGAAUUAAGGAGGCGUCUGCUAUGAAUCUUUCUAUUCUACUGGAUCUCUGCUGCUCGUCUUGUAUUAAACCACCUUCUGCUAAUUAGUGAUUCACAGAAUUAAAAGAACCAUUACUGACAUGAGACGUCUUUUACUGUGAGUUAAAGUUAUAAAGACUUAUGUGAUUUAUUAAUGUGCACCUUUGAUACAAAAUUGUAAUAAAAAAAGAUAAAAUAAAUUGAGAUAUUGUUAUUAGUUUGACUUAUCAGUCACCUGACUCGUUAGUGUCGGUGGUCACGUGACUCGUUAGUGUCUGUAGUCACCUGACUCGUUAGUGUCGGUGGUCACGUGACUCGUUAGUGUCUGUAGUCACCUGACUCGUUAGUGUCUGUAGUCACGUGACUCGUUAGUGUCGGUAGUCACCUGACUCGUUAGUGUCGGUAGUCAUGUGACUCGUUAGUGUCGGUGGUCAGGUGAGUCGUUAGUGUCAGUAGUCAGGUGAGUCGUUAGUGUCGGUGGUCAGGUGAGUCGUUGUCAGUACAGAGUCGUGUGAGUCUCUUGAAUCCCUUUUGUCUGCAGAAGUGGACCAGAAGCUUUUCAGCCUUCAUGAGGCGAGUCCUCUGAAGCCGGAGGAUCCACAGCGAUGAAGAAGAAGAACCAGAAGAAGCUUUCAGAUCGGGUUUGGAUUCAUACACAUGAAGCCUCGUGGAGAUCUGAGGUGUGAGUCGGUACACUUUGAGGAAGAGAACCUGGUGUUGGUGGGAACUCUUAAUAGUCUCACGUGCUUCUGUAAUCGCUCUCCACACUGCAGCAGAGAAGCACGAGACUCAUUAAAUCCCUCCAGACCUCCUCAAACAUUCAUUCUGAAAGUCCUACCUGGAGGAGGCCAGAUGCUCGAGUAUCUCGAGUAAAGAUCAUACUAGCUAGUGAUUCAUGGUCUGUAAACCUGUGGAUUACUUUUUCCAUUAGCUGUUUAGUUUAUGAAAAUAAAACAAGUCCUCAAAUCUCUGGUUUGCUCACAACAAUCUGAUAAUAUUCAUAUUUAAGACAACUGGAGACUUUUUACUUUUUGCAUCAAACUGAUUCCUCAACUCAACGGUAGCCGAUAAUUAUACUUGAAUAAA